CAGUAGCCGCGGGAAUACGUAGGUGGCGAGCGUUGUCCGGAAUUAUUGGGCGUAAAGGGAGCGCAGGCGGACAUAUAAGUCCAUCUUAAAAGUGCGGGGCUCAACCCCGUGAGGGGAUGGAAACUGUAUGCCUUGAGUGCAGGAGAGGAAAGCGGAAUUCCCAGUGUAGCGGUGAAAUGCGUAGAUAUUGGGAGGAACACCAGUGGCGAAGGCGGCUUUCUGGACUGCAACUGACGCUGAGGCUCGAAAGCCAGGGGAGCGAACGGGAUUAGAUACCCGCGUAGUCCCUGUCUCUUAUACA
Molecule: ribosomal RNA, 301 nt
Filed under: uncultured bacterium
Lineage: Bacteria
Description: partial 16S ribosomal RNA
Rfam family: Bacterial small subunit ribosomal RNA
Source: RNAcentral